This 279-nucleotide ribosomal RNA is filed under the name uncultured bacterium. RNAcentral's name for it is "partial 16S ribosomal RNA". It matches the Rfam family "Bacterial small subunit ribosomal RNA", at positions 506 to 784 of the family's 1533-position model. The record is from RNAcentral.
UGCCAGCAGCCGCGGUAAUACGGAGGGUCCAAGCGUUAUCCGGAAUUAUUGGGUUUAAAGGGUCCGCAGGCGGGACAAUAAGUCAGUGGUGAAAUCUCUCGGCUCAACCGAGAAACUGCCAUUGAAACUAUUGUUCUUGAAUCUACUCGAAGUGGGCGGAAUGUGUCAUGUAGCGGUGAAAUGCUUAGAUAUGACACAGAACACCGAUUGCGAAGGCAGCUCACUAGCGUAGCAUUGACGCUCAGGGACGAAAGCGUGGGGAGCGAACAGGAUUAGAUA